AAGAUGCUCAUGGAACUUCAGAAAAGUCACAUCUCUGAAAGGGAGAGGGAAGGAAUCUGUGUGUGUAGGACCUCAACUCAAUGAAGACUUGAAAUAGCUACUCAGGUCCUUCUCCCUUCCUAAAGGGAGAUUGUUGCAUCAGGGAAAUCGGAAACGUGAAGAAGUCCUACAGGAACUGCAACAUUCCAGAGAAGCUACUUAGGAACCGAUGAUGAAGAGAUUAGGAGUACACAAACCCUGCCUCUUAGAUGCACACAAUCUUCAGACCAUUUUACACCAGCAGGUUGCUGGGUACUCCCUUGGGCAGUCUCCACGUGUGGAUUUCCAUUUCAUCAAAGGAGACAGGAGGGAAGAGCCCCAGCAGCUCAAAGCAGGAAAGAUAUAUUUUCAGCAUGGGAUCAGUUGGAAAGACAUUGCAAAUGCAAGCUUCUGAGUCAGCAAAGAGCUGUCCAGAUCUUUUAUAAGUAUUGCAGAGCCCCUGCCAGGGGUCCACAGAUCACCAGACUAAACCCUCAGGUUCACACACAAACCUCUGUUGGAUGAGUGCCCUCCUUGGUUGGACCGAAAUGUUUUGCAGCUCUUUGUGUGAGUGUUCCUGCAUUAAUGGAGUCCUAAAAGAACAAGGGAAUAGUGACUUUAUGCUCACCAGUUCCAGGAUGGGUAGAGAGAUCCACCUGUACAGAUAUCUCACCCACUGAAUUAUUAGCAGUUUGACCUGAAACAAGAAUUACUGGUUAGCACACCUGGCUU
This is a long non-coding RNA of Serinus canaria (Common canary), 750 nucleotides long. RefSeq lists it as uncharacterized. The record is from RefSeq and is a predicted model, not a curated record. Lineage: Eukaryota; Metazoa; Chordata; Aves; Passeriformes; Fringillidae. The transcript has 6 exons.